GUCCACGCCGUAAACGUUGGGCACUAGGUGUGGGUUCCAACCAACGGAAUCCGCGCCGUCGCUAACGCAUUAAGUGCCCCGCCUGGGGAGUACGAUCGCAAGAUUAAAACUCAAAGGAAUUGACGGGGGCCCGCACAAGCAGCGGAGCGUGUUGCUUAAUUCGAUGCAACGCGAAGAACCUUACCUGGGCUUGACAUGUACGGAAAAGCCGUAGAGAUACGGUGUCCUUCGGGCCGUACACAGGUGGUGCAUGGCUGUCGU
This 261-nucleotide ribosomal RNA is filed under the name uncultured bacterium. RNAcentral's name for it is "partial 16S ribosomal RNA". It matches the Rfam family "Bacterial small subunit ribosomal RNA", at positions 793 to 1055 of the family's 1533-position model. The record is from RNAcentral.